GACCAGAGGAGCCUGGUGGGAUCACCCAUCGGAUUACAAAGAGACACGACUGAACUACUAAACACAUAUCCACUUGGUUUCUAUUAAAAACUGUCUCAUAAUUGGAUCAGGAUCCAAAUAAGGUCUACUUUAUUCAAGUUGGUUGUUAUCCUUAUAGAUUUGAGCACUCUCCUGCUCAUUUGUACUUUUUUAUGAAACAUUUAUUACAGUGUUUUCUACUGUUUGGAUUUUGCAAAUUGUAUCACCUUGGUUUAGUUUAGCCUAUUCCUCUAUAUCUCCUGUAGAUUGGAAAUUGACUCCAGAAGCUUGAUCACUUUGGUGUGGGGGGUGGGUGGGCAAGAUUAUAGGCAGUAAAUGUCUGUUUUUUUCUCUUGGGGGAAUACCAGCAAUCAUUGACCAAUGCCCAGAUCAGCCAGUUUUUAAGAGGUGUCAAAAUGCUGGUACUCUGAUUCUAUCAUCCUUCUUUAUUUAUUAGCUAGAAUACUUGUAUGAAGGAAAAUAUCUCAUCUACUGUUUGCUUAGGGGUAUGGGAAAGGUGGGAGAAAUGCUGGGUUCACCCUCUUUAAUUCUUUUUCACACACAGUUGUCCUAUCUUUUGUCUCAAGUCCUUUUGACACAAUUGUAGUGCUUGAUAGCUUCCUUAGUAUCUAAUAUCUAAUUUAGAGAUCGUAUAGUUUAGAGUUUCUCUGAGCAGCCCUGGUUCCUUUUGUUGGAAAACUGGAGAUUAUACCCUGGGUGCCAGGGGUGCUCAUUAGUAGAAGGUGGUCUGUCUUUCUAGACCUUUUCAGUGUUCAGAGCUGGCAAGUGUGUGUGUAACUUAGCUUUACUGAGAUAUGAUUUACAUACAGUAAAUUUAUUUGUUUUAAAUGUACACGUUAUGAGUUCUGACGUGUAUAAUAACCACCACCAUGUGACAAUAUAGAACAUUCCAUUCCCCCCCAAAAGUCCCCUCAUACCCCUUUAGCACUUUAGGGUUUUGACUUGAGCUUCUUCUAUCACACAUCUGUAUCUCCCCACCCCCAAGAACUCCAAUUCUCAAGAGUACUGAGAGAUAUAAUUAGAACGUCAUGCCAUACAACUGCUCACCUGCCUUAUCCUAACCACAGCACUCUCAGAAACUGCAACACCAAUAUUCCCACCAUAUGUCUACCUGAAAAGUUUAAUUUCAUUUUUGUCGUUUGGGGUCCAAUUUUUGAUUUUGGUAUAACUGUAAAAAUCUAAAAAGCUUUAAGAAUUAUUUUUCUAAAGAAAUGUCAGUCCAACCCACAGGUACCUUUAUUUAGGUACUUUGUCUUCUUGGGGCCUCAGCCUUCACCGGAGGAUUGCAUUCCUGGUCUCAGGUCAGCUGACUGCACUAACUGGCAACGUGGAAUAUCUAAACAGCAGUCGGGGAGAAGCAUCACUGAGAGAAGGCUGUCUCCUUAGGUUGAAAUCCCGAGCUCUGGGACCAGCAGGGGCAGAAGGGACAGAUGCUUGAAGGGAACUGGUCAGAGCACACCUAUUUGCAGCUCCUCAUCCCAGCAGGGUUUUCAUGCUGCCCUGGUGUCACCGUACACAUACUGCCUUCUCCCAGUUUCCUAUUGGGCUGCUGGCCUUUUUCUUAAUGAUUUCUGAGAGCUCAUCAUAUAUUGUAGAACAUCAUACUUUAUCAGAGACAUGGAUUAAAAUUAUUUCCCCUCCCCAUUCUUUUUAUUUAGUUAAAGAUUUUUAAAUGUUUCAUGUAACUAAAUUUAAUACUUAUUUAUGUGUUCUGGAUCACGAGUCAUACCUAGAAAAGCCUUUCCCUCUUAAAGAUUAUUAUAAAAUUCCUCUACUUCUGUGGCUUGAUUUUUAGGUAUUAACAUUUGAGCUAGCUGAAUGGAUUUUGUUGUAAAGAAUGAAGUGGGAAAAAAAAUGAAGUUGAGUUCUAACUUUUUAAA
Molecule: non-coding RNA, 1919 nt
Organism: Odocoileus virginianus texanus
Lineage: Eukaryota; Metazoa; Chordata; Mammalia; Artiodactyla; Cervidae
Source: RefSeq, a predicted model, not a curated record